AACGAACGCUGGCGGCAUGCCUAACACAUGCAAGUCGAACGAAACCUUCGGGUCUAGUGGCGCAUGGGUGCGUAACGCGUGGGAACCUGCCCUUAGGUUUGGAAUAACUCCCCGAAUGGGGUGCUAAUACCGGAUAAUGUCUUCGGACCAAAGAUUUAUCGCACUUGGAUGGGCCCGCGUUGGAUUAGCUGGUUGGUAGGGUAAAAGCCUACCAAGGGGAGGAACCAUAGCUGGGUUGAGAGGAUGGUCAGCGACACUGGGAGUAGGACACGGCCCAGACUCCUACGGGAGGGGGGAGUGGGGGAUAUUGGAAAGUGGGGGGAGGGCUGAAGGAGCAAUGCCGGGUGAGUGAUGAAGGCCUUGGGGUUGUAAAGCUCUUUUACCCGGGAUGAUAAUGACGGUACCGGGAGAAUAAGCACCGGCUAACUCCGUG
Molecule: ribosomal RNA, 433 nt
Filed under: uncultured bacterium
Lineage: Bacteria
Description: partial 16S ribosomal RNA
Rfam family: Bacterial small subunit ribosomal RNA
Source: RNAcentral